Molecule: small nucleolar RNA, 111 nt
Organism: Gossypium raimondii (Peruvian cotton)
Lineage: Eukaryota; Viridiplantae; Streptophyta; Magnoliopsida; Malvales; Malvaceae
Rfam family: Plant small nucleolar RNA R71
About the family: R71 is a member of the C/D box family of snoRNAs containing the C (UGAUGA) and D (CUGA) box motifs.
Source: Rfam
AUCCCAUGAUGAGGACACUUACGGAGUAACUCCUUGAAUCGCUCCCAAGCCUCAUACAAAGACUCGUCAUCCAAUUGUUGGAAAGUGGGAAAUACUUUCGUUCCUUAACUU